GCCCAAAUGUAAUAUAAUUACAUGUUUCUCAAAACAUUUGUAGUUGCAUCCUAAGAGCUUUCGCCUAGCCAGGCUUGAGAGCUAAUGCUGUUAAAAUCCUUCAUUGGAUGUCUGAGGUU
Small nucleolar RNA from Lolium rigidum, 119 nucleotides. RefSeq annotates it as small nucleolar RNA SNORD14. The transcript has a single exon. The record is from RefSeq and is a predicted model, not a curated record. Lineage: Eukaryota; Viridiplantae; Streptophyta; Magnoliopsida; Poales; Poaceae.